This 74-nucleotide transfer RNA is filed under the name Vultur gryphus (Andean condor). RNAcentral's name for it is "tRNA-Glu". Lineage: Eukaryota; Metazoa; Chordata; Aves; Accipitriformes; Cathartidae. The record is from RNAcentral.
GUUUCUGUGGUUGAGUAUGCCUUCAACGACGGUUUUUCAAGCCGUAGACCUUGGAGAAAAGCCAAGCAGAAAUU